This 434-nucleotide long non-coding RNA is filed under the name Triticum aestivum (bread wheat). Its description in RNAcentral is "long non-coding RNA (TAES_LNC019301)". The record is from RNAcentral. Lineage: Eukaryota; Viridiplantae; Streptophyta; Magnoliopsida; Poales; Poaceae.
UCUCGGAUGCGCCAUCAUCCCUGCUCCUUCACUCCUGACACCCCUUCCGUCGAACACAAUGUGAGCUCUGCCCUGUUGGUGUCUGAUGAAGCGCCGCCGACGGCACCGUGGAGUGCCUAGGGUUCUAUCAUAGGCCGCUCGCAGGUCAUGGGCCCGCGCGACUCCGCAGCAUCGUGAUCCUCCAGCGCGGGCGUGCCGCCGCCAUCAAGACGAACCGGCGCCGCCUUCGGUCGCUGGUGCGUUCCCUCGCUAAUAAGGUCGAUGGCUCCCUUCCCCGCACUGCUUCUUUCCUACUCAUCUUUCAAUUUUUCUCUAUCCUUGCAGUCACCGCAGGUAGCGGCAGCAUGUACGCAUCAGGAGCGGGCGCCUCUUCUUUCGUGCUCUCGCUAGAUCCUCCCAGCAGCAAGUCACCCUCUCCACCACGCCCUUUUCCU